GGGACUGUAGCUCAUCUGGAUAGAGCAGCUGCCUUCUAAGCAGCAGGUAGAGGGUUCGAGUCCCCCUAGUCUCG
This 74-nucleotide transfer RNA is filed under the name Treponema sp. CETP13. RNAcentral describes it as "tRNA-Arg". It matches the Rfam family "tRNA". From Rfam's summary of the family: Transfer RNA (tRNA) molecules are approximately 80 nucleotides in length. Their secondary structure includes four short double-helical elements and three loops (D, anti-codon, and T loops). Lineage: Bacteria; Pseudomonadati; Spirochaetota; Spirochaetia; Treponematales; Treponemataceae. The record is from RNAcentral.